CCUUAUUUCUUUUUUUUUUCUCUAUACCAGCUCGCGUGCUUAACGCCCUAACCGGUCGCUGAGAAAGCGGGGAGCGUGGGUCGCAGAGGGAGGAUCGAUCCCAAUCCUUUUUGCACCGGCGGCGGCGGCGGCGGGAGGGGGUGAAGCGAGCUCCAGUGAGGAGAGGUACAGGGCAGGACUCGAGGUGGAGGAGGUCGGGGGCGGACCCGAGACGAGGAAGAAGGAACAACCACGAGUUGGCCUGCUCUCACUUGACGGUGUUCGGCGUCGUCUCCCUGUGCAGCUACUCCUACCGUUCAGCUCGGCCUCCCCUAGCCCUCCGUACUACGCACCUAUGCCCACCUCGCCGACUUCUUCCCCAACACACCCCGUUGGCCGGGCAGAAGAAGACACCUCACCGGUGACAGCAGCGGUUCGAUGAGUUGAGUAGCUUGUGCUACAGCGGUACAAGCCCUUCUUCCUAAUAGUCGUCACCGCAGAGGAGACGGCUUACCGGAAGUCAUAAUCUCGACUGCGCCUGUCAACUAAGGAACGUAGUUACCCUUCCUAUGUAAUCGGUUUCGAACCCCCGUUCUACUAGAGGUCGGGCCGGACCGGUGGCGACCGUACAGCCACGGGAGUUGUUCAAGGACGUGCCCCUACACUUCAGACCAGGCUCCGGCGAACCGGCCUACCGCGAGUGAGAUCACGGUUCAUCUUAAGAACUCGAGGACGAAGUGAACGUUCUUCUUCGACGUAAGACGUCACGGCUCACGGCCCUGGUUCUCUAGUACUAGCUUCUCCUUCGUUUCUUGUUCUAGCGGUAGUCUACGAGCAGGACGAGUAGGGACGGGCGGCCACCUACCUUGCCUGUUGUCGCCUCCUGUACCUGUACCGAGCAGGACUUGUUGCAGCUCUCAGUAUACUCCGAAUGACCUUCGCCGUUGUAAUCACCGUAAGGCCAGGUUACGUCGUCAAGUUCGAAACGUAUAGGCUGUAGUAGCUCGGGUUCAGCGGUAGCUACAUCUGAACCGUACGGGCCCAAAUGAAACACUUGUUAUAGUAAAUCCUUGACUGACGGUAAACGACUUAACAACUUUUCACCUAUACUACCUUCUUCCAUGGCCUUUACAAGAACAACAACAUUCGAUAAACGUACUUCGCGAUUUUACGUUUUCUCUAACGAACCUCGUCUGUAUCUCCUAAACUGCGACGACGAAGAAUGGAGACAUCUCUAGGACCAUACCACGGAGCAUUGUUACUAUGACCUUUACCAGUCUGAGGUGUUGUUAACGCGAAUGGUGCUUGCUUCCUACAAUAACAUUUACCUUGGCAACAUUUCCAGUUCAUGAUGGUGUGGAUGUACGACGUAGGCGGUGGAGCAAAAAGAGUGACAAGAUAGAUAUUGUUGACACACCUCGCAAAACUAGUAGUGACAGGAACCCAACCAGUUACGUAUCCUGACCAUUGAUAUAAUUACGGAUUAUCAGAUUAUAUAAAGUAACAGUAGGCUUAGACGUACUACUUAGAGAUAACGUUGAUAAUUAGUUACAAACCACGAUUGAUGGUCGAAAAGACCACGUCGUAUUAAUAGCAAAUAAUAUAUACAAACAUAAGAGCUGGUGUGAUGAUACGGAGAUGCACAGACCCAAGACGACCCACAUGUAUUAAUUCUAGUUUCUACGUCUCCUAAGUAGAUAAACCUCCCGUUACAACUUCUGUGGACGGCUCACCAAGACUAGUAGAUGACAAAAUAAAUACACACCAAAAAACCGCCAGAAAAACAGAAAGUAGAGAUAGACUUCUCGUGGUUAGUCCAGCGAAGGGAAAGGUGGAAAGGAGACAAAAUUUUGAGAACCAUAAAUUUAGUAAAACAACGUUGAAGCAUUAAUAAGUUAGGAAGUGGAAACGUUUGAUGGUUGCUCUUGAAAUCCAUAGCUACGCUGGAUGCCCGAUUGGAUAUAUUGUUCUAACGAAUCUCGAUUGUAUCUCCAAUUAAUUUAAUUAGAAAUCAAGAAGAGGACAGUACAAAAGUAAUCAUUUGGAAUUCCAUUUAAGGGAAUCUAUUAGUACAGAAGUACCGGCCGUACUACUACCGCUGUACUGGGGGGCACUGCUACUGGGCUAGGCCGGUCUGUGGCAGAAGAAGCGGUGCUCCUUUACAAAACGUACGGAAGUUUCGAAUUAUUUUAUAAAACGUACAGAAACGAACGAUGUGAUUAUACGUCCAAAACACCUCACUACUUGUUCUGGAGAAGAAAAGUUUUAUAUACGAUCUCUCAUGAGCAACCUAAAUAUCUCUACUUCACAAACAUUUUAACGAAUUAUAGAAUAUAGAACGAACACGUCCCGUGGUCCUCUCUCUAGCAUAGUAUAAAGGACACUCGACACGAGACCUAGAAGAGGAUAAGUAUAUUCAUUGUUGUGUAAGGAUACUUCCUUAAGUAUAUCCGAAUGUAAAGUAACGUAGAGGAGACAGUAAAAAUUAACCAAUAUACGUACACGACAACGUCUUUUAACAAAGAUUCUGUACAGCCAAUGAUAUUAAUUAACUUCGUCUCAAAAACGAACUAUUAACUACCACUA
This 2565-nucleotide ribosomal RNA is filed under the name Triticum aestivum (bread wheat). Its description in RNAcentral is "partial small subunit ribosomal RNA". The record is from RNAcentral. Lineage: Eukaryota; Viridiplantae; Streptophyta; Magnoliopsida; Poales; Poaceae.